Molecule: ribosomal RNA, 253 nt
Filed under: uncultured bacterium
Lineage: Bacteria
Description: partial 16S ribosomal RNA
Rfam family: Bacterial small subunit ribosomal RNA
Source: RNAcentral
UACGGGGGGGGCAAGCGUUGUUCGGAGUUACUGGGCGUAAAGGGCUCGUAGGUGGCCAACUAAGUCAGACGUGAAAUCCCUCGGCUUAACCGAGGCAGGUCGUCGGAUACUGCGGGACUAGAGGACGGUAGAGGCGUGUGGAAUUCCGGGUGUAGUGGUGAAAUGCGUAGAGAUCCGGAGGAACACCAGUGGCGAAGGCGACACGCUGGGCCGUACCUGACACUGAUGCGCGACAGCAUGGGGAGCAAACAGG